GGAGAGGUGCCAGAGUGGACGAUUGGGAUCGCCUGCUAAGCGAUUGUCUGGGUAACACUGGACCGUGGGUUCGAAUCCCACCCUCUCCG
RNAcentral lists this transfer RNA (89 nucleotides) under Anaerolineae bacterium. RNAcentral describes it as "tRNA-Ser". It matches the Rfam family "tRNA". From Rfam's summary of the family: Transfer RNA (tRNA) molecules are approximately 80 nucleotides in length. The record is from RNAcentral. Lineage: Bacteria; Bacillati; Chloroflexota; Anaerolineae.